UACGUAGGCAGCGAGCGUUGUUCGGAGUUACUGGGCGUAAAGAGUGCGUAGGCGGUUUUCUAAGUUUGGUGUGAAAUCCCUCGGCUUAACCGGGGAACUGCGUCUGAUACUGGAUGGCUUGAGUUUGGGAGAGGGAUGCGGAAUUCCAGGUGUAGCGGUGAAAUGCGUAGAUAUCUGGAGGAACACCGGUGGCGAAGGCGGCAUCCUGGACCAACACUGACACUGAGGAGCGAAAGCCAGGGGAGCAAACGGG
RNAcentral lists this ribosomal RNA (253 nucleotides) under uncultured bacterium. RNAcentral describes it as "partial 16S ribosomal RNA". It matches the Rfam family "Bacterial small subunit ribosomal RNA", at positions 524 to 776 of the family's 1533-position model. The record is from RNAcentral.